Zea mays is the source of this 2045-nucleotide long non-coding RNA. RefSeq lists it as uncharacterized. The transcript has 10 exons. The record is from RefSeq and is a predicted model, not a curated record. NCBI's taxonomy places the organism in Eukaryota, Viridiplantae, Streptophyta, Magnoliopsida, Poales, Poaceae.
UCUAGCACGCCGACGCCUCCUCUUCAUCCCCCGUAGUCCCCGAUCCGUCCAGCUUCACCAGAUCUGCCCCCUCCCCAUGCAACAGCCACCGUCUGCGAUGCUCGCCGCCCCAUCUCCCUGCCUGGCGACCACGAUGCUCGCCAUGCCCCCGCCCACCCCUGCGCAACUGCCACCGUCCAUCCCACUCUCCACCCUGCGUCCGCGAUGCUCGCCACGUCCGUCGUCCCCAGUCCUCGGUGCCACGUCCGCCACCAAAGGGUAAUGACCAUGAAUGUAUGCUGGCAAGAGGGUAAUGACUACUGUGCUCAAUUAGGGGAAUCACGUCUGCAAUUCAUAAAUGGAGCAUCAUUUGGGUCUGAACUUUGUACAACAUCAUCUCCUUAAAACAUAUGUAUGGACAACAGAAGAAAAAGAUCCAGUAGAAAAGAUCUAUCGCGAAACGCAUGGGCUUGAAGGAGUUCAAAAUGGGAUGCUCGACAUGGUUCUUGGUGAUCCAUAGAAUGAGCACCCUGAUCUCUGUUCUCCUCGGUUCCUGCGUGUGUGGAAAAGUAGCGGGAUGGCCUAUGACCCUUAAGAACUCAUCUGGAGCGAAGAGCAGCUGAGCAGGUUGUUGGCCUGCAUCCAAGUGAGUCGGCAAUGAACCACAGUGCAAUUGGAGAUCGACAUCAGCCCCCUAAGUCAGCAAAGGUCUCAGCAACACCUCCAGCUCCCUCAGUUGAGCGCCCUUAUGUCUGCUGCUAGAGACUCUCCACCAACUGCAUAUCCUAUUCUGCUUUUAAUUAACUAUGUGCAUGCUGCAAGCUAUUCAGGUCGACAUAUUUCCUAGGGCAGAUGCUCUGAUGGUACCUUUGUUCCUUUUCUUUUGCUCUCUCCUUUUGUUGUGGCACAUGAAAAUUAUCAGACUAUUUGUGGAAAUCUGAUGUUCUUUAUAUUAACCAGAUCCAAAAACACCAUUCUAAUGUUUCAGUAUUGCUCAUGUAGAAGAAUGGUGAACACUAGAAGGUUGUGGAGUCCUAAAGACGAGCAAGCCUGGGUCCAUGAUAGAUUUGAUGAGAUGGAUAUGCAUGGUUUUCAUGGUGACAAUAUCGGUCAGAAACUUCAAGCCUUGAACGUGGUCUUCAGCUUCCUGGUCGGCGAGUGGGAACUUGAUCUCACUGUUGUGUAACUGCUUGCUGUUGUCCCUCUUGCACAACUUAGGUUCUUUAUGAUGUUCUAAUCUACAAAUGUGUUAGAAGACGGCCGGAUCUUGUGUGACUGGCAAGAUUUACCAUUUAAAAACCAUGCCCCCGGAGAAUGAGGAGAAUUCUAUCCGACUUAUUACACGUUCUGAUGCCACAUUUGAGAAGGUUCUGUUAAUAUCCACCCAGUAACUUUUUUGUUUUGUUUCCUGUCAUCUAAAGAUCAAAGAUCCUAAGAAACAAUUUCUGGUUUAUGGGUCUAGCAGAGCCAGAACUGAGCACCUACAACUCUUUUAAGUUAAGCAACACAAGUUGAAUUCAUGGGAGCAUGUGGUUUGUUACCAAGAUCCGCUGUAUAUACAUAUGACUUAUCAAUGAUUUUCAGGUUGUUGUAACUAUCCAGUAUCGUACAACUGACCUGUUACCUAGGGGGAAACACUGCAUGAGUGUUGUUGGUAUCCUUGUCUGAUAUGAGGCGGAGCGGGUGAUUCUUGCAGGAGGAGGGAGUGAUUCUCCUAGAGGUGGAGGAGGAUGAAGUGGUGAUAGACUUCAAGCCAACUCCAAGUGUUGUGUCGACCUCUGCCUCCGCUCCCUGCACACAUCCCUCCCAGUCGUCUUCAAGGUCCAGACCUCCUCCCUGCUCAAGUUCCUCAUCAGCACGUUGCGCGGUGUCGUGUCGUCGCUUUCCUCGGUGUCCAUACGCGUCGUGCGAGGCAUCCCGCUUCAUCUCUAAUCACCUUUAUGUGCACAUCCUCCAUAUGUGACCCCCUUCUCCAUAUAAUUUCAACAAUUUUUACUCUUUUAGGCUCCAUGUAAUUUCAUUAGUAAAAUCUCUACUAACUAUUAGGGCUGCAAAGUUAACAUGUC